RNAcentral lists this ribosomal RNA (1311 nucleotides) under Dentispicotermes sp. n. 2 SH-2021a. RNAcentral's name for it is "16S ribosomal RNA". The stretch from base 867 to 1236 matches the Rfam family "Bacterial large subunit ribosomal RNA", at positions 2073 to 2647 of the family's 2925-position model. Lineage: Eukaryota; Metazoa; Arthropoda; Insecta; Blattodea; Termitidae. The record is from RNAcentral.
UUUGUUGAUUAUUUUGUUGUUUAUUUUGUGGUAUUUUGUUGUUUUAUUGAAAAAUCAUUUUGGUUGUAGUAAUUUUUGAUUUAAUAUUUUUUGCGAUAGUUUAUUUGUACCGUGAGGGGUUGUUGAAUUAAAUGUUUUGUUGGAAGUAGUUUUUGUUUAACGUACCUUGUGUAUCAGGGUUCAUUGAAUUUUAUUAUUUAUUUUUAUUUCCCGAUUUUAAAGGAGUUAAUGAUUUAUGUUAGUUACUGUUUAAUUAGUAUUAAUGAUAUUUUGUUGGUAGUGAAAUGUUAUUCGUCUUUAGUGGUUUCUGGUUUUUCAAGAAAUGAAUUUAAUUCAGGCGUUUUAUUUAAUUUUUAUUUUUUUAUUAUUUAUUUUUAUUUUGCGCUAAGAUUAAGGGGGAUUAGCUCUUUAUUUUAUUAUUAUAAUUUAAUGUGUAAUUUAGUUUUGUGGAUUUUAUAGUGAUUUUCAAUUUGAUUAUGUUAAAGUUUUAUUUGUUUUUUUAUUUAUUUCUUUUGUAUUUAAAUUUAUAUUGAAAUGUAUAUUUUAUUUUUAUUUUGUAUAGUAAUUAUUGUGUAAUUAGUAAAUUUUGUUUAUUGUGUUGUAAUAUUCUUUGUUAAUUUCUUUUUAGGAAUUAGGCAAAUUUUUAUGUCCGCCUGUUUAACAAAAACAUCUUUUCUUGUUAGUUUUUGAAGUAUGGCCUGCCCACUGACUUUUGUUGAAGGGCCGCGGUAUUUUGACCGUGCAAAGGUAGCAUAAUCAUUAGUUCUUUAAUUGUGAUCUGGUAUGAAUGGCUUGACGAGACGUGAGCUGUCUUAGAGGAAUUUUAUUGUUGAAUUUGGUUUUUGAGUUAAAAUUCUUAAAUGUAUUUAUGGGACGAGAAGACCCUAUAGAGUUUAACAUUUUUAUUAUUGUGUUUAAUUUCGUUUGUGUUCUGGUUAGCAGUGAUUAAAUGUUUUGUUGGGGUGAUGAGAGGAAUAUUUUAAACUCCUCUUUGUUUUUAUAUAUUUAUUUAUAUAUAUUUGAUCCAUUUAUUUUGAUUAUAAGAUUAAAUUACCUUAGGGAUAACAGCGUUAUCUUCCUUGAGAGUUCUUAUUGGCGGGGAGGUUUGCGACCUCGAUGUUGGAUUAAGAUGAAUUUUUGGUGCAGGAGCUGAAAGUGAUUAGGUCUGUUCGACCUUUAAAAUCUUACAUGAUCUGAGUUCAGACCGGCGUGAGCCAGGUUGGUUUCUAUCUAUAAUAAUUCUUAUACCUUAGUACGAGAGGACCGGGUAUUUGGAAUAAUUUUAUUUAUAUGAUUUUUAUUAAUAUAUUU